This 429-nucleotide ribosomal RNA is filed under the name uncultured bacterium. Its description in RNAcentral is "bacterial SSU rRNA". It matches the Rfam family "Bacterial small subunit ribosomal RNA", at positions 355 to 775 of the family's 1533-position model. The record is from RNAcentral.
UAGGGAAUUUUGCACAAUGGGCGCAAGCCUGAUGCAGCAACGCCGCGUGAGUGAAGAAGGCUCUUGGGUUGUAAAGCUCUUUCGGCUGGGAAGAAGGGUGUCACCGCGAACAGCUGUGACGUCUGACGGUACCAGAAGAAGAAGCACCUGCUAACUACGUGCCAGCAGCAGCGGUAAUACGUAGGGUGCAAGCGUUGUUCGGAAUUACUGGGCGUAAAGGGCGCGUAGGCGGGCCCGUGUGUCGAUUGUGAAAGCCCUGGGCUCAACCUGGGAAUGGCAGUCGAAACUGCGGGUCUUGAGUGCCUGAGAGGAUGGCGGAAUUCCCGGUGUAGAAGUGAAAUUCGUAGAUAUCGGGAAGAACACCUGAGGCGAAGGCGGCUAUCUGGCGGUGCACUGACGCUGAGGCGCGAAAGCGUGGGGAGCAAACAG